AUGAGUAACGAAAAAGGAAUAUCCUCGCCUUAAGCUUAUGGUAUUUUAUUUAAUUUUCGGUAUCUAAAUUAUUAAUCAAAAGGUAAUUUUGAUGAUAUUUUUAUACAAUUAUUUAAGUAAAGAACAAAACCUUUAUUAGUAGUAAAGGUUCUGGAAAAUUUUUUACUUAAAAUAUAAUUGAUAUAUACCGUACCUAAAUACUAUCGCAAGUAAGCAAGUAGAGUAUACAAAGGCGUUUGAGUGAACAAUCAUUAAGGAACUCGGCAAAUUGACUACCGUAACUUCGGGAUAAGGAGAGCCAUUUUCAUUAGUUUAACUUGGUUUUUAACCAAGAUUUUAUUAAACUAGUGAAAAGAGGAAGCAUGGAAUAAUGUUGUACGACUGUUUAAUUAAAACACAGCACUCUGCAAAGAUUAAAUAUCAAAGUAUUGAGUGUGAUGUCUGCCCAAUGUCGGCUGGGUAACGGAUUUAUCUUAGUUUUUAACUAAG
Molecule: non-coding RNA, 489 nt
Filed under: Paecilomyces variotii No. 5
Lineage: Eukaryota; Fungi; Ascomycota; Eurotiomycetes; Eurotiales; Thermoascaceae
Description: Byssochlamys spectabilis No. 5 Bacterial large subunit ribosomal RNA
Rfam family: Bacterial large subunit ribosomal RNA
Source: Rfam by way of RNAcentral